This 74-nucleotide transfer RNA is filed under the name Caudoviricetes sp. RNAcentral describes it as "tRNA-Met". It matches the Rfam family "tRNA". Rfam says of the family: Transfer RNA (tRNA) molecules are approximately 80 nucleotides in length. Lineage: Duplodnaviria; Heunggongvirae; Uroviricota; Caudoviricetes. The record is from RNAcentral.
GGAUCAUUAUCUCAGCAGGUCAGAGAGGCCGUCUCAUAAACGGCAGGUCCCAGGUUCGAGCCCCGGAUGAUCCA